ACAUGCAAACUCCAUGCAGAAAUGCCAACUGACCCAGCCGAGGCUCAAACCAGUGACCUUUUUGCUGUGUGGCGACAGCACUACCUACUGCGCCACUGCGUUGCCCCAAGCUAUAAGUUUCAAGACAUCAUUUGAAAUGGUAAAGUUUUCUUCUAUGCAUGCAUAUUCACAGUAAAAACAAAACAUUAUGACAUUUUAUUAUUAAGAGAACAUAUUAGAUGCACUUUCUGCCAUCUUUUCAAAACAUCUAACAAAAACAAACCAAAACUCUGUGUAAUGAUCAUAUGAUCAGAGCUCAACGAAUCAAGAUAGGAGUAAUCCAGAAGAGCCAAUCAGGGAGUGAAUUUGUGGAGCCACGCCUUUUUUAUAAUUAAUUUUUCGGGGUUUUCACCUUAAUUGGAUAGGACAGUAGAAAGUAUUGACUGGAAAGUUUGGGGAGCAGAGAGAGGGGAAGAAUUGCCAUAGGACCUUGAGGCGGGAAUUGAACUCGCGGUCGCUGUAAGCACCGAAGUGCAUAUGUCAAUGCACUUUCCACUACACCUCUGGCACCAAUAAAGCCAUGUGUUUUUAGGUCAUCUACUUCGAAACCUAACUAAGUCUUCUAAUUAAAACAAAUCUGAAGCAUUUUCAAAAGUCUCAGUUUUUGAGUGUCUAAAACAGGGUUGCCCAAACUUGGUCCUGGAGUGCUUAUUUUAGUUUCAACCCCAAUAAACCACACCUGAACCAGCUAAUCAAGCUCUUUUUGUUUGUCGUGUGACCAUGUUUUUUGUCCGUGAGUCAAAAAUCAUUCAGAAACCAAACAAUGUGUAGUCUGAGCCUGGCAUUAGUCUUGUUUUAAAGGUUUGCGUGUGUGUUUUUCAUAUUGUGUUGUUUAUUUGCUGUGUCACUGCCUUCACCGUUGAAUAAUUGGUCACACUUUACAAUACAGUUCUAUUAGUUCAUGUAUUCACUAACAUAAACUGAGAAUGAAUCAAUACUUGUACAGCAUUUAUUAAUCAUAGAUCACUUACUUUGUUACUAACGCAUUAAAAAAUAGCAAAUUGUGCUUGUUCAGUAGUGGUUAAAGUACAUCCAGAUGGUUGUUAUAUCAGAUUAAAGUUGCUAAAAAGCUUAUCGGCAGUUGUGUGACUACUGUAAGUCUGUUCUAUAAGACUGAAGGGCUUUUUUUCUGUGAAAACAGCCAUCUGGAUGUGCUUUAUUCUACUUUUUGCAUGACUACUUGUCACAAAAUGUAAAAACUAGAUGCAAAACAUUGCUCUGAGCUGUAAUAGUUUUUUUUUUUUCAACAAACUAACGAAAACGGCUGAAUGGAGCGUACACUAAUCUAUAUAUUAUUCAGUCACUAGAUGGCGCCAAAUAAUCAAAACAGCAGCGUAACAAACAUGCUUAUAAAUAUGAACACAUUCACUGAUGGUCAGGAUGAUUAGAAGUACCCAUAUGCAUCUGUGUUAUUAGUUUCAGCAGUUGGUUUCUCUAAAUAAAACACCUUGAAAUGUCAUGACUGACCAAUCAGAAUCAAGUAUUCCAGACAGUCGUGUUAUAACAGUAGCUAAUGCACUGUAAGGUAACAGUAAAUGAUUUUUCCCCAUUACCUAAUGUUAACAAAGAUGAAUAAAUGCUGUUCUGAAUCAUUCACUAUUGGUUUGUGUCAGCAAAUAUAUUCAAAUGAACUAAUUGAGCCUUAUUGUAAAGUGGUACCGAAUCACUUUAUACCUUGCACUGGUUCUUGUAUAGAUUCUGAGAAGUUGAACUGCUUUUGAUACCUUGAAUUGAUCUACAGAUUGACCUGCUUCUUUUUUUUUUUUUUUUUUUUUUUUGUUAUACUGUACUUUUUUUUUUUUGCCUGUGGUCUUACGAUGCUGAUCCUUUCAUUUUCAUUAACGGCCAUUAAGCACACAUUGCCUUCAUGAUACAAGUAUUGAACCCUACUUGUGGGUCCAGUAAUAGCAUUUGAAGUAGUGAUGUUUUUCAUCUUCAUUUGCCUUUAUUGUGUUUGGCAUCUGCAGGAGUGCUGGAUAUACAGCUUCAGUUUUAUUCAGUUUGUUAUAUAUAAAGGAAACUGGGCUGACAUGAAUGAUGCAGGAUUACUAUGAUUUGACAGGUUGUAAAGGCAUGCUAAGUCAUUUUCAGUAAUGUACUUACAAUAGUGCUUCUCAAACAGUUAUUAAGUGAGUGAUGGGCUUAUUUUAAAAAUACAUUAAUAAUAACAGUAAAUUAAGAAUUGCUUAACCAAAAAUAUAUUUAAUAAAUUUGAAUCAAAUUAUGCCUGAUUUUGUCGACAGUUAAUUAAAAUAUCAGUCUCACUUUAAUGAAAAGCAUUACCCAAAUGUUACAGGUGUCUUGCUUUCCAAAAUUAUGCAAUUAUUUGUUUAAAGUAAACAGUAAAACUGUGAAUUACUACAAUUUACAAUAAUAAUUUUCUCUUAAUAAAUGUUUUAAAACACCUGUUUAAUGUUACAAAGACAUUACAAUAGUGAUUCUCAAACAGUUAUUAUGUAAGUGAUCGACUGAUUUUAAAAUACAUUAAUAAUAAUAAUAAUAAAUUAAGAAUUGCUUCAUAAAAUUCUAAAAUAUUUAAUAAAUUUGAAUCAAAUUAUGCCUGAUUUUGCUGACAGUCAUUCAAAUAUCAGUCUCACUUCAGUGAAAUGCAUUACCAAAGAGUUACAGGUAUCUUACUUUCCAAAUUUAUCCAUUUAUUUGAUCAAAAUUAUAAUAAAAAUUAAAUACUACAAUUUUACAUAAUCAUUUUCUCUUAAUAAAUGUUUUAAAAUGCCAUUUAUUCCUUUGAGGAUGAAUCUGAAUCAUUACAUAAGUCUUUAGUGUUACAAAAAAAUUAGUGGUUCUCAAGUUAUUAUGUAAGUGAUGGAUUGAUUUUAAAAUACAACAACAAUAAUAAUAAUAAUAAGAAGAAGAAGAAGAAGAAGAAGAAGAAGAAGAAGAAGAAUUGCUUCACAUUAAUUCAAAAAUUCAAAAAUAUUUAAUCAUUUUGAAUCAAAUUAUGCCUGAUUUUGUUCACAUUUAUUCAAAUAUCAGUCUCACUUCAGUGAAAUACAUUUGCAAAAUGUUUCAGGUGUCUUUCUUUCUAAACUUGUGCAUUUAUUUGAUCAUAAAGUGAAAUAAUACAAUUUUAUAGGAUCAUUUUCUCUUAAUAAAUGUUUUGUCCCUAUCAGGUUGAAUCUGAAUAAUUACAUAAGACUUCUCUGUUCUCAAACAGUAAGUGAUUGACCAAUUUUAAAAUACAUUAUUAAUAAUAAUAAUAAUAAAUUAAUUGUCCACAAUCAUUAAACUAUCAGUCUCACUUUAGUGAAAUGCAUUACCAAAAUGAUAGAGGUGUCUUGCUUUCCAAAAUAAAAUGAUGCAAUUAUUUGAUCAAAAAUAUGAAUAUCAAAACAGUGAAAUACUACAAUUUAAUAAAAUCAUUUUCUCUUAAUAAAUGUUUUAAAACAACAUUUAUCCCUGUGAGAAUAAAUCUGAAUAAUUACAUAAGUCUUCAGUGUUACAAAAACAUUAAAAUGUUUAUAUUUUAUGUUCAAGAAUAUUUCUGAAUAUCAGUGUUGAUUACAGUUGUGGCGAUUAGUAUUUUUUAACACUUUUGUAAGUGCAUUACUCUCAACACAAUUUUAUUUACUAAAAAUUGAGGAAUGCAUUGUGAUAGUUAACAAAUUAUGAUAGAUGCUGAAGAGCUUAUUCUUUAAACUGUUCUUUUGUAUUUAUUUUCAAACUGAACAAUCUUGAAAUUAAAAAUGACACCCACAAUGUGCUCACUUGAGUACUUUUAGUAUUACCACUGUGUAAAGCGUAUUACAGUUUGACUGAUUUAAACUCAAAGAAAUGAUGAAGGUGUACUGUAUGUCACAGAAACAUUUUCCUACUUCUUACUUCUCUCUUCUUUUUUUUUUUUUUUUGAAUAUUUGUUCCAGAAUGCACUAUUGCUCAUUAAACUACUGUUGAUCAAAUGGGUACAGUAUAUUCCUUUGUGACUUCAUGCUUUUGAUGUGUUAGAAGAGCAUAAAACUGUAGUACUAGACUCCUGAAACACUGAUCCCGGCUACUUGUACUUUAUUUCAUGCUGAAGUUUUGUUCUUGCCUUUGUGCUGAAACUAUUUUUGUGUUGAUGUUGCAAACAGGAGCAUAUCAUCUGCUCUAAAGGGACAAUUCUGUUACCUUGUGUCAUAAUCUGCCCUCGUUUAAUUGUUGGAAUGAGUUUUUUUGUUUUCGAUUUUGUUAAGUUUUUAUGUCUGGUUGAAAUUUUCUUGACCUGUAGUUAAACAUCUGCUGAUUCUUAAUUUAAGUGACAAUUAAAAAGUAUUACAGUACCA
This is a non-coding RNA of Danio rerio (zebrafish), 4319 nucleotides long. Lineage: Eukaryota; Metazoa; Chordata; Actinopteri; Cypriniformes; Danionidae. The record is from RefSeq and is a predicted model, not a curated record.